UACGUAGGGGGCGAGCGUUGUCCGGAGUUACUGGGCGUAAAGCGCACGCAGGCGGUCUGCUAAGUUUGGAGUGACAGUUGGUGGCUUAACUGCCAAAGUGCUUCGAAAACUGACAGACUUGAGGGCUUCAGAGGGACACGGAAUUCCGGGUGGAGUGGUGAAAUGCGUAGAGAUCCGGAGGAACAACAAAGGCGAAGGCAGUGUCCUGGGGAGUGCCUGGCGCUCAGGUGCGAAAGCCAGGGGAGCGAACGGG
RNAcentral lists this ribosomal RNA (253 nucleotides) under uncultured bacterium. Its description in RNAcentral is "partial 16S ribosomal RNA". It matches the Rfam family "Bacterial small subunit ribosomal RNA", at positions 524 to 776 of the family's 1533-position model. The record is from RNAcentral.